GGUACAUCGGUGACAGGUGGUGCAUUGGUUGUCGUCAGCUCGUGUCGUGAGAUGUUGGGUUAAGUCCCGCAACGAGCGCAACCCCUAUUGUUAGUUGCCAUCAUUCAGUUGGGCACUCUAGCGAGACUGCCGGUAAUAAACCGGAGGAAGGUGGGAUGACGUCAAAUCAUCAUGCCCCUUAUGACCUGGGCUACACACGUGCUACAAUGGUUGGUACAACGAGUUGCGAGUCGGUGACGGCGAGCUAAUCUCUUAAAGCCAAUCUCAGUUCGGAUUGUAGGCUGCAACUCGCCUACAUGAAGUCGGAAUCGCUAGUAAUCGCGGAUCAGCACGCCGCGGUGAAUACGUUCCCGGGCCUU
This 359-nucleotide ribosomal RNA is filed under the name uncultured Streptococcus sp. RNAcentral's name for it is "bacterial SSU rRNA". It matches the Rfam family "Bacterial small subunit ribosomal RNA", at positions 1022 to 1382 of the family's 1533-position model. The record is from RNAcentral. Lineage: Bacteria; Bacillati; Bacillota; Bacilli; Lactobacillales; Streptococcaceae.